CCCUUAGAUGUUCUGGGCUGCACGCGCGCUACACUGAUGCACUCAACGAGUUUUCGACCUUGCCCGAUAGGGCUGGGUAAUCUUUUUAAAAUGCAUCGUGAUGGGGAUAGAUUAUUGCAAUUAUUAAUCUUCAACGAGGAAUUCCUAGUAAGCGCGAGUCAUCAGCUCGUGCUGAUUACGUCCCUGCCCUUUGUACACACCGCCCGUCGCUCCUGCCGAUUGAAUGGUUCAGUGAGGUUGUCGGAUUCGUGUUUAUUACAUGGCAACAUGACGUAGACAUGAAGAAGAUGACCGAACUUGAUCAUUUAGAGGAAGUAAAAGUCGUAACA
RNAcentral lists this ribosomal RNA (329 nucleotides) under uncultured eukaryote. Its description in RNAcentral is "partial 18S ribosomal RNA". It matches the Rfam family "Eukaryotic small subunit ribosomal RNA", at positions 1470 to 1796 of the family's 1831-position model. The record is from RNAcentral.